GGGGAUAUAGCUCAGUAGGUAGAGCACUUGCCUCACAUGUACAAGGCCCUGGAUUCAAUCCCCAGCACCCUCA
RNAcentral lists this transfer RNA (73 nucleotides) under Ictidomys tridecemlineatus (thirteen-lined ground squirrel). RNAcentral describes it as "Spermophilus tridecemlineatus (thirteen-lined ground squirrel) tRNA". It matches the Rfam family "tRNA". From Rfam's summary of the family: Transfer RNA (tRNA) molecules are approximately 80 nucleotides in length. Their secondary structure includes four short double-helical elements and three loops (D, anti-codon, and T loops). Further hydrogen bonds mediate the characteristic L-shaped molecular structure. tRNAs have two regions of fundamental functional importance: the anti-codon, which is responsible for specific mRNA codon recognition, and the 3' end, to which the tRNAs corresponding amino acid is attached (by aminoacyl-tRNA synthetases). tRNAs cope with the degeneracy of the genetic code in two manners: having more than one tRNA (with a specific anti-codon) for a particular amino acid; and 'wobble' base-pairing, i.e. permitting non-standard base-pairing at the 3rd anti-codon position. Lineage: Eukaryota; Metazoa; Chordata; Mammalia; Rodentia; Sciuridae. The record is from Rfam by way of RNAcentral.